AGGACGAACGCUGGCGGCGUGCUUAACACAUGCAAGUCGGGGGGGGGUAGCAAUACCUCACCGGCGAACGGGUGCGUAACACGUGAGCAACAUUCCGAUUUCUGGGGGAUAGCCGGCCCAACGGCCGGGUAAUACCGCAUACGCUCAUUGAGAGGAGUCUCUUGAUGAGGAAACCUCCGGGGGAAAUCGAGUGGCUCGCGGCCUAUCAGCUAGUUGGCGGGGUAAUGGCCCACCAAGGCAAUGACGGGUAGCUGGUCUGAGAGGAUGGCCAGCCACAUUGGGACUGAGAAACGGCCCAGACUCCUACGGGAGCAGCAGUGGGAAUCUUGCGCAAUGGACGAAAGUCUGACGCAGCGACGCCGCGUGCGGGAGGAAGCUCGUUCGGGUGUAAACCGGCUGUUCGCCCGGAACGAACCGCCAGAUUUGCUGCUUGACGGUACCGGUGAGGAAGCGCCGGCUAACUCUGUGCGUAGCAGCCGAC
Molecule: ribosomal RNA, 481 nt
Filed under: uncultured soil bacterium
Lineage: Bacteria
Description: bacterial SSU rRNA
Rfam family: Bacterial small subunit ribosomal RNA
Source: RNAcentral